Molecule: ribosomal RNA, 400 nt
Filed under: uncultured bacterium
Lineage: Bacteria
Description: bacterial SSU rRNA
Rfam family: Bacterial small subunit ribosomal RNA
Source: RNAcentral
UGGGGAAUAUUGGACAAUGGGCGAAAGCCUGAUCCAGCAAUGCCGCGUGAGUGAUGAAGGCCUUCGGGUUGUAAAGCUCUUUUACCGGUGAAGAUGAUGACUGUAACCGGAGAAUAAGCCCCGGCAAACUUCGUGCCAGCAGCCGCGGUAAUACGAAGGGGGCUAGCGUUGUUCGGAAUUACUGGGCGUAAAGGGCGCGUAGGUGGCCUGAUAAGUCAGAAGUGAAAGCCUUGAGCUUAACUCGAGAAUUGCUUUUGAGACUGUCAGGCUAGAGUACAGGAGGGGUAAGUGGAAUUCCAAGUGUAGAGGUGAAAUUCGUAGAUAUUUGGAAGAACACCAGUGGCGAAGGCGACUUACUGGACUGUAACUGACACUGAGGCGCGAAAGCGUGGGGAGCAAA